UAGGGAAUCUUCGGCAAUGGACGAAAGUCUGAUCGAGCAACGCCGCGUGAGUGAAGAAGGUUUUCGGAUCGUAAAACUCUGUUGUUAGAGAAGAAAAAGGACGUUAGUAACUGAACGUCCCCUGACGGUAUCUAACCAGAAAGCCACGGCUAACUACGUGCCAGCAGCCGCGGUAAUACGUAGGUGGCAAGCGUUGUCCGGAUUUAUUGGGCGUAAAGCGAGCGCAGGCGGUUUCUUAAGUCUGAUGUGAAAGCCCCCGGCUCAACCGGGGAGGGUCAUUGGAAACUGGGAGACUUGAGUGCAGAAGAGGGGAGUAGAAUUCCAUGUGUAGCGGUGAAAUGCGUAGAUAUAUGGAGGAACACCGGUGGCGAAGGCGGCUCUCUGGUCUGUAACUGACGCUGAGGCUCGAAAGCGUGGGGAGCAAACAGG
This 429-nucleotide ribosomal RNA is filed under the name Gemmatimonadota bacterium. Its description in RNAcentral is "Gemmatimonadetes bacterium partial 16S ribosomal RNA". It matches the Rfam family "Bacterial small subunit ribosomal RNA", at positions 355 to 776 of the family's 1533-position model. The record is from RNAcentral. Lineage: Bacteria; Pseudomonadati; Gemmatimonadota.